This 470-nucleotide ribosomal RNA is filed under the name uncultured bacterium. RNAcentral's name for it is "partial 16S ribosomal RNA". It matches the Rfam family "Bacterial small subunit ribosomal RNA", at positions 28 to 507 of the family's 1533-position model. The record is from RNAcentral.
GACGAACGCUGGCGGCGUGCUUAACACAUGCAAGUCGAACGCUGAAGCACCAGCUUGCUGGUGUGGAUGAGUGGCGAACGGGUGAGUAAUACGUGAGUAACCUGCCCUUGACUCUGGGAUAAGCCCGGGAAACUGGGUCUAAUACUGGAUGCUACAUGUCACCGCAUGGUGGUGUGUGGAAAGGGUUUACUGGUCUUGGAUGGGCUCACGGCCUAUCAGCUUGUUGGUGAGGUAAUGGCUCACCAAGGCGACGACGGGUAGCCAGCCUGAGAGGGUGACCGGCCACACUGGGACUGAGACACGGCCCAGACUCCUACGGGAGGCAGCAGUGGGGAAUAUUGCACAAUGGGCGAAAGCCUGAUGCAGCGACGCCGCGUGAGGGAUGACGGCCUUCGGGUUGUAAACCUCUUUCAGCAGGGAAGAAGCCACAAGUGACGGUACCUGCAGAAGAAGCGCCGGCUAACUACGUG